GAUGAACGCUGGCGGCGUGCCUAAUACAUGCAAGUCGAGCGAACAGACGAGGAGCUUGCUCCUCUGACGUUAGCGGCGGACGGGUGAGUAACACGUGGAUAACCUACCUUUAAGACUGGGAUAACUUCGGGAAACCGGAGCUAAUACCGGAUAAUAUAUUGAACCGCAUGGUUCAAUAGUGAAAGACGGUUUUGCUGUCACUUAUAGAUGGAUCCGCGCCGCAUUGGCUAGUUGGUAAGGUAACGGCUUACCAAGGCAACGAUGCGUAGCCGACCUGAGAGGGUGAUCGGCCACACUGGAACUGAGACACGGUCCAGACUCCUACGGGAGGCAGCAGUAGGGAAUCUUCCGCAAUGGGCGAAAGCUUGACGGAGCAACGCCGCGUGAGUGAUGAAGGUCUUCGGAUCGUAAAACUCUGUUAUUAGGGAAGAACAAAUGUGUAAGUAACUAUGCACGUCUUGACGGUACCUAAUCAGAAAGCCACGGCUAACUACGUG
Molecule: ribosomal RNA, 497 nt
Filed under: uncultured bacterium
Lineage: Bacteria
Description: partial 16S ribosomal RNA
Rfam family: Bacterial small subunit ribosomal RNA
Source: RNAcentral